UACGUAGGGGGCAAGCGUUGUCCGGAAUCAUUGGGCGUAAAGGGCGCGUAGGCGGCGCGGUAAGUCACUUGUGAAAUCUCUGAGCUUAACUCAGAACGGCCAAGUGAUACUGCAGUGCUAGAGUGCAGAAGGGGCAAUCGGAAUUCUUGGUGUAGCGGUGAAAUGCGUAGAUAUCGAGAGGAACACCAGAGGUGAAGACGGGUUGCUGGGCUGACACUGACGCUGAGGCGCGAAAGCCAGGGGAGCAAACGGG
RNAcentral lists this ribosomal RNA (253 nucleotides) under uncultured bacterium. RNAcentral's name for it is "partial 16S ribosomal RNA". It matches the Rfam family "Bacterial small subunit ribosomal RNA", at positions 524 to 776 of the family's 1533-position model. The record is from RNAcentral.